RNAcentral lists this unclassified non-coding RNA (240 nucleotides) under soil metagenome. Its description in RNAcentral is "partial contains 5.8S ribosomal RNA, internal transcribed spacer 2, and large subunit ribosomal RNA". The record is from RNAcentral.
AACCUUAUGGACCUGCGGGCGUAUACCUGCGGAGGGAUCAUUACACAAUAAACAUAUGAAGGCUGCACCGCCAACAGGCGGCAAGGCUGGAGUAUUUUAUUACCCUUGUCUUUUGCGCACUUGUUGUUUCCUGGGCGGGUUCGCCCGCCUCCAGGACCACAUGAUAAACCUUUUUUAUGCAGUUGCAAUCAGCGUCAGUACAACAAAUGUAAAUCAUUUACAACUUUUAACAACGGAUCU